CGGCAUAAUUGAUAGUUUCAAAGUUUUGCCAGUUCUAUGCCCCUUUUUUUGGAUGUGUGCGAGGAAUGAGGGGAGGGUAUGGAGCUUUGCCAGAUUUUCAGUUCUACACUUUCUGGAGUAAAAAAGUCAUUUCAUUUUGGAAGUUUAAGACUUUGUCUCUGUAACUAGCAGAUAAUCAUUGAAAGAAGAUGCAGUAUUGUUGGUCCCAUUGAAAGCAGAAAAUUCAUUGGCAAGUCAAAAAGUAAUUCUAGAAAACUAGCAGAAUUUUUUUUUGACCCGUAAUAUCAAUGAGUUCCUCAAAAAUCAGAAGAUCUGUCAUAGCUGUUAUAAAUUAUAAAAUAAGAACUAUAAUUUCAAUGGUACUAAGGGACCCAACUGACCUGUACCUCUCGUGUUGCAGAAG
Molecule: unclassified non-coding RNA, 403 nt
Filed under: Hevea brasiliensis (rubber tree)
Lineage: Eukaryota; Viridiplantae; Streptophyta; Magnoliopsida; Malpighiales; Euphorbiaceae
Source: RNAcentral